This 461-nucleotide ribosomal RNA is filed under the name uncultured bacterium. RNAcentral describes it as "partial 16S ribosomal RNA". It matches the Rfam family "Bacterial small subunit ribosomal RNA", at positions 338 to 795 of the family's 1533-position model. The record is from RNAcentral.
CCUACGUGAGGCAGCAGUGAGGAAUAUUGGUCAAUGGGCGGGAGCCUGAACCAGCCAAGUCGCGUGAGGGAAGACGGUCCUACGGAUUGUAAACCUCUUUUGCCGGGGAGCAACGGGGUCCUUGCGAGGGCCCAAUGAGAGUACCCGGAGAAAACGCAUCGGCUAACUCCGUGCCAGCAGCCGCGGUAAUACGGAGGAUGCGAGCGUUAUCCGGAUUUAUUGGGUUUAAUGGGUGCGUAGGCUGUCGGAUAAGUUAGAGGUCAAAUGUCGGGGCUUAACCCCGUGCCUGCCUCUGAUACUGUUCGACUAGAGAGCGGAUGCAGCAGGCGGAAUGAGUAGUGUAGCGGUGAAAUGCUUAGAUAUUACUCAGAACACCGAUUGCGCAGGCAGCUUGCUAAUCCGCAUCUGACGCUGAUGCACGAAAGCGUGGGUAGCGAACAGGAUUAGAUACCCGUGUAGUC